UGGGCGAGAGCCUGAACCAGCCAAGUCGCGUGAAGGAAGAAGGAUCUAUGGUUCGUAAACUUCUUUUGCAGGGGAAUAAAGUGCAGGACGUGUCCUGUUUUGUAUGUACCCUGAGAAUAAGGAUCGGCUAACUCCGUGCCAGCAGCCGCGGUAAUACGGAGGGUGCAAGCGUUACUCGGAAUCACUGGGCGUAAAGAGCACGUAGGCGGCCUUGCAAGUCAGAUGUGAAAUCCAACGGCUUAACCGUUGAACUGCAUUUGAAACUGCAAGGCUAGAGUAUGGGAGAGGUAGGUGGAAUUCUCGGUGUAGGGGUAAAAUCCGUAGAGAUCGAGAGGAAUACUCAUUGCGAAGGCGACCUGCUGGAACAUUACUGACGCUGAGGUGCGAAAGCGUGGGGAGCAAACA
Molecule: ribosomal RNA, 405 nt
Filed under: uncultured Wolinella sp.
Lineage: Bacteria; Pseudomonadati; Campylobacterota; Epsilonproteobacteria; Campylobacterales; Helicobacteraceae
Description: bacterial SSU rRNA
Rfam family: Bacterial small subunit ribosomal RNA
Source: RNAcentral